CUGGUAUGUACUGGCUUCGCUGAUUCCUCCUUUCUGAAGAACUGUAAUGUCAUUAAUUUGGUGUUGCAGGGAAACAGGACUGUUACUUUGAAAAAAUUAGAGUGUUUAAAGCAGGCUAACGCUUGAAUACAUUAGCAUGGAAUAAUGAAAUAGGACGUUCGAUCCUAUUUUGUUGGUUUCUAGGAUUGACGUAAUGAUUAAUAGGGAUAGUUGGGGGCAUUAGUAUUCAAUUGUCAGAGGUGAAAUUCUUGGAUUUAUUGAAGACUAACUACUGCGAAAGCAUUUGCCAAGGAAGUUUUCAUUAAUCAAGAACGAAAGUUAGGGGAUCGAAGACGAUCAGAUACCGUCGUAGUCUUAACCAUAAACUAUGCCGACUAGGGAUCGGAUGAUGUUAAUUUUUUAAUGACUCAUUCGGCGCCUUACG
RNAcentral lists this ribosomal RNA (424 nucleotides) under uncultured Glomeromycotina. RNAcentral describes it as "SSU rRNA". It matches the Rfam family "Eukaryotic small subunit ribosomal RNA", at positions 670 to 1092 of the family's 1831-position model. The record is from RNAcentral. Lineage: Eukaryota; Fungi; Glomeromycota.